RNAcentral lists this unclassified non-coding RNA (345 nucleotides) under soil metagenome. RNAcentral describes it as "partial contains 5.8S ribosomal RNA, internal transcribed spacer 2, and large subunit ribosomal RNA". The stretch from base 1 to 120 matches the Rfam family "5.8S ribosomal RNA", at positions 35 to 154 of the family's 154-position model. The record is from RNAcentral.
GAUGAAGAACGCAGCGAAAUGCGAUACGUAAUGUGAAUUGCAGAAUUCAGUGAAUCAUCGAGUCUUUGAACGCACAUUGCGCCCCCUGGUAUUCCGGGGGGCAUGCCUGUCCGAGCGUCAUUGCUGCCCUCAAGCACGGCUUGUGUGUUGGGCCUCCGUCCUCCUCCCGGGGGACGGACCCGAAAGGCAGCGGCGGCACCGCGUCCGGUCCUCGAGCGUAUGGGGCUUCGUCACCCGCUCUUGUAGGCCCGGCCGGCGCUUGCCGACACAUCAAUCUUUUUUCCAGGUUGAACUCGGAUCAGGUAGGGAUACCCGCUGAACUUAAGCAUAUCAAUAAGCGGAGGA